GCAAGUCGAGGGGUAACAGAGUAGCUUGCUAUUGCUGACGACCGGCGCACGGGUGCGUAACGCGUAUAGAAUCUACCUUACACUGAGGGAUAGCCUUUGGAAACGAAGAUUAAGCCCUCAUGGUAUACUGAUUUGGCAUCAAGAUAGUAUUAAAGGUUACGGUGUAAGAUGACUAUGCGUUCUAUUAGCUAGAUGGUAAGGUAACGGCUUACCAUGGCAACGAUAGAUAGGGGCCCUGAGAGGGGGAUC
This 249-nucleotide ribosomal RNA is filed under the name uncultured bacterium. RNAcentral's name for it is "partial 16S ribosomal RNA". It matches the Rfam family "Bacterial small subunit ribosomal RNA", at positions 57 to 305 of the family's 1533-position model. The record is from RNAcentral.